GGGUUGUGAGGUUAAGCGACUAAGCGUACACGGUGGAUGCCCUGGCAGUCAGAGGCGAUGAAGGACGUGCUAAUCUGCGAUAAGCGUCGGUAAGGUGAUAUGAACCGUUAUAACCGGCGAUUUCCGAAUGGGGAAACCCAGUGUGUUUCGACACACUAUCAUUAACUGAAUCCAUAGGUUAAUGAGGCGAACCGGGGGAACUGAAACAUCUAAGUACCCCGAGGAAAAGAAAUCAACCGAGAUUCCCCCAGUAGCGGCGAGCGAACGGGGAGGAGCCCAGAGCCUGAAUCAGUGUGUGUGUUAGUGGAAGCGUCUGGAAAGGCGCGCGAUACAGGGUGACAGCCCCGUACACAAAAAUGCACAUAUUGUGAGCUCGAUGAGUAGGGCGGGACACGUGGUAUCCUGUCUGAAUAUGGGGGGACCAUCCUCCAAGGCUAAAUACUCCUGACUGACCGAUAGUGAACCAGUACCGUGAGGGAAAGGCGAAAAGAACCCCGGCGAGGGGAGUGAAAAAGAACCUGAAACCGUGUACGUACAAGCAGUGGGAGCACGCUUAGGCGUGUGACUGCGUACCUUUUGUAUAAUGGGUCAGCGACUUAUAUUCUGUAGCAAGGUUAACCGAAUAGGGGAGCCGAAGGGAAACCGAGUCUUAACUGGGCGUUAAGUUGCAGGGUAUAGACCCGAAACCCGGUGAUCUAGCCAUGGGCAGGUUGAAGGUUGGGUAACACUAACUGGAGGACCGAACCGACUAAUGUUGAAAAAUUAGCGGAUGACUUGUGGCUGGGGGUGAAAGGCCAAUCAAACCGGGAGAUAGCUGGUUCUCCCCGAAAGCUAUUUAGGUAGCGCCUCGUGAAUUCAUCUCCGGGGGUAGAGCACUGUUUCGGCAAGGGGGUCAUCCCGACUUACCAACCCGAUGCAAACUGCGAAUACCGGAGAAUGUUAUCACGGGAGACACACGGCGGGUGCUAACGUCCGUCGUGAAGAGGGAAACAACCCAGACCGCCAGCUAAGGUCCCAAAGUCAUGGUUAAGUGGGAAACGAUGUGGGAAGGCCCAGACAGCCAGGAUGUUGGCUUAGAAGCAGCCAUCAUUUAAAGAAAGCGUAAUAGCUCACUGGUCGAGUCGGCCUGCGCGGAAGAUGUAACGGGGCUAAACCAUGCACCGAAGCUGCGGCAGCGACACUAUGUGUUGUUGGGUAGGGGAGCGUUCUGUAAGCCUGUGAAGGUGUGCUGUGAGGCAUGCUGGAGGUAUCAGAAGUGCGAAUGCUGACAUAAGUAACGAUAAAGCGGGUGAAAAGCCCGCUCGCCGGAAGACCAAGGGUUCCUGUCCAACGUUAAUCGGGGCAGGGUGAGUCGACCCCUAAGGCGAGGCCGAAAGGCGUAGUCGAUGGGAAACAGGUUAAUAUUCCUGUACUUGGUGUUACUGCGAAGGGGGGACGGAGAAGGCUAUGUUGGCCGGGCGACGGUUGUCCCGGUUUAAGCGUGUAGGCUGGUUUUCCAGGCAAAUCCGGAAAAUCAAGGCUGAGGCGUGAUGACGAGGCACUACGGUGCUGAAGCAACAAAUGCCCUGCUUCCAGGAAAAGCCUCUAAGCAUCAGGUAACAUCAAAUCGUACCCCAAACCGACACAGGUGGUCAGGUAGAGAAUACCAAGGCGCUUGAGAGAACUCGGGUGAAGGAACUAGGCAAAAUGGUGCCGUAACUUCGGGAGAAGGCACGCUGAUAUGUAGGUGAGGUCCCUCGCGGAUGGAGCUGAAAUCAGUCGAAGAUACCAGCUGGCUGCAACUGUUUAUUAAAAACACAGCACUGUGCAAACACGAAAGUGGACGUAUACGGUGUGACGCCUGCCCGGUGCCGGAAGGUUAAUUGAUGGGGUCAGCGCAAGCGAAGCUCUUGAUCGAAGCCCCGGUAAACGGCGGCCGUAACUAUAACGGUCCUAAGGUAGCGAAAUUCCUUGUCGGGUAAGUUCCGACCUGCACGAAUGGCGUAAUGAUGGCCAGGCUGUCUCCACCCGAGACUCAGUGAAAUUGAACUCGCUGUGAAGAUGCAGUGUACCCGCGGCAAGACGGAAAGACCCCGUGAACCUUUACUAUAGCUUGACACUGAACAUUGAGCCUUGAUGUGUAGGAUAGGUGGGAGGCUUGGAAGUGUGGACGCCAGUCUGCAUGGAGCCGACCUUGAAAUACCACCCUUUAAUGUUUGAUGUUCUAACGUUGACCCGUAAUCCGGGUUGCGGACAGUGUCUGGUGGGUAGUUUGACUGGGGCGGUCUCCUCCUAAAGAGUAACGGAGGAGCACGAAGGUUGGCUAAUCCUGGUCGGACAUCAGGAGGUUAGUGCAAUGGCAUAAGCCAGCUUGACUGCGAGCGUGACGGCGCGAGCAGGUGCGAAAGCAGGUCAUAGUGAUCCGGUGGUUCUGAAUGGAAGGGCCAUCGCUCAACGGAUAAAAGGUACUCCGGGGAUAACAGGCUGAUACCGCCCAAGAGUUCAUAUCGACGGCGGUGUUUGGCACCUCGAUGUCGGCUCAUCACAUCCUGGGGCUGAAGUAGGUCCCAAGGGUAUGGCUGUUCGCCAUUUAAAGUGGUACGCGAGCUGGGUUUAGAACGUCGUGAGACAGUUCGGUCCCUAUCUGCCGUGGGCGCUGGAGAACUGAGGGGGGCUGCUCCUAGUACGAGAGGACCGGAGUGGACGCAUCACUGGUGUUCGGGUUGUCAUGCCAAUGGCACUGCCCGGUAGCUAAAUGCGGAAGAGAUAAGUGCUGAAAGCAUCUAAGCACGAAACUUGCCCCGAGAUGAGUUCUCCCUGACCCUUUAAGGGUCCUGAAGGAACGUUGAAGACGACGACGUUGAUAGGCCGGGUGUGUAAGCGCAGCGAUGCGUUGAGCUAACCGGUACUAAUGAACCGUGAGGCUUAACCUUACAACGCCGAAGCUGUU
RNAcentral lists this ribosomal RNA (2929 nucleotides) under Escherichia coli. Its description in RNAcentral is "23S ribosomal RNA". It matches the Rfam family "Bacterial large subunit ribosomal RNA". The record is from RNAcentral. Lineage: Bacteria; Pseudomonadati; Pseudomonadota; Gammaproteobacteria; Enterobacterales; Enterobacteriaceae.